AGAACGAACGCUGGCGGCAUGCCUAACACAUGCAAGUCGAACGAGACCUUCGGGUCUAGUGGCGCACGGGUGCGUAUCGCGUGGGAACCUGCCCUUAGGUUCGGAAUAACUCCUCGAAAGGGGUGCUAAUACCGGAUGAUGUCUUCGGACCAAAGAUUUAUCGCCUAUGGAUGGGCCCGCGUUGGAUUAGCUAGUUGGUGAGGUAAAGGCUCACCAAGGCGACGAUCCAUAGCUGGUCUUAGAGGAUGAUCAGUCACACUGGGACUGAGACACGGCCCAGACUCCUACGGGAGGCAGCAGUGGGGAAUAUUGGACAAGUGGGCGAAAGCCUGAUCCAGCAAUGCCGCGUGAGUGAUGAAGG
This 361-nucleotide ribosomal RNA is filed under the name uncultured soil bacterium. RNAcentral's name for it is "bacterial SSU rRNA". It matches the Rfam family "Bacterial small subunit ribosomal RNA", at positions 26 to 414 of the family's 1533-position model. The record is from RNAcentral.